Molecule: ribosomal RNA, 440 nt
Filed under: uncultured bacterium
Lineage: Bacteria
Description: partial 16S ribosomal RNA
Rfam family: Bacterial small subunit ribosomal RNA
Source: RNAcentral
CCUACGGGAGGCAGCAGUAGGGAAUAUUGCUCAAUGGGGGAAACCCUGAAGCAGCCACGCCGCGUGGAGGAUGAAGGUUUUCGGAUUGUAAACUACUUUUGUUAGGGAAGAUAAUGACGGUAUCUAACGAAUAAGCACCGGCUAACUCCGUGCCAGCAGCCGCGGUAAUACGGAGGGUGCAAGCGUUACUCGGAAUGACUGGGCGUAAAGCGCGCGUAGGCGGGAUGGCAAGUCAGAUGUGAAAUCCUAUGGCUUAACCAUAGAACUGCAGUUGAAACUGUUAUUCUAGAGUAUGGGAGAGGUAGGUGGAAUUCGUGGUGUAGGGGUAAAAUCCGUAGAGAUCAAGAGGAAUACUCAUUGCGAAGGCGACCUGCUAGAACAUAACUGACGCUGAUGCGCGAAAGCGUGGGGAGCAAACAGGAUUAGAUACCCGGGUAGUA